UGAAGCCUGGGUGCCCGCGAGGGAGCCCUAGCACAGGUGCUGCAUGGCCGUCGUCAGCUCGUGCCGUGAGGUGUUGGGUUAAGUCCCGCAACGAGCGCAACCCCCGCCGUUAGUUGCCAGCGGUUCGGCCGGGCACUCUAACGGGACUGCCCGCGAAAGCGGGAGGAAGGAGGGGACGACGUCUGGUCAGCAUGGCCCUUACGGCCUGGGCGACACACGUGCUACAAUGCCCACUACAAAGCGAUGCCACCCGGCAACGGGGAGCUAAUCGCAAAAAGGUGGGCCCAGUUCGGAUUGGGGUCUGCAACCCGACCCCAUGAAGCCGGAAUCGCUAGUAAUCGCGGAUCAGCCAUGCCGCGGUGAAUACGUUCCCGGGCCUU
This 380-nucleotide ribosomal RNA is filed under the name uncultured Thermus sp. RNAcentral's name for it is "bacterial SSU rRNA". It matches the Rfam family "Bacterial small subunit ribosomal RNA", at positions 1003 to 1382 of the family's 1533-position model. Lineage: Bacteria; Thermotogati; Deinococcota; Deinococci; Thermales; Thermaceae. The record is from RNAcentral.